This 833-nucleotide ribosomal RNA is filed under the name uncultured Gammaproteobacteria bacterium. RNAcentral's name for it is "bacterial SSU rRNA". It matches the Rfam family "Bacterial small subunit ribosomal RNA", at positions 8 to 830 of the family's 1533-position model. Lineage: Bacteria; Pseudomonadati; Pseudomonadota; Gammaproteobacteria. The record is from RNAcentral.
AGAGUUUGAUCCUGGCUCAGAUUGAACGCUGGCGGUAUGCUUAACACAUGCAAGUCGAACGGAAACGAUGGUAGCUUGCUACCAGGCGUCGAGUGGCAGACGGGUGAGUAACGCGUAGGAAUCUGCCUGAUAGUGGGGGAUAGCCCAGAGAAAUCUGGAUUAAUACCGCAUAAUCUCUAUGGAGUAAAGGAGCCCUCUUCUUGAAAGGUUUCGCUAUCAGAUGAGCCUGCGUAAGAUUAGCUUGUUGGUGAGGUAAAAGCUCACCAAGGCGACGAUCUUUAGCUGGUCUGAGAGGAUGAUCAGCCACACUGGAACUGAGACACGGUCCAGACUCCUACGGGAGGCAGCAGUGGGGAAUAUUGGACAAUGGGCGCAAGCCUGAUCCAGCAAUACCGCGUGUGUGAAGAAGGCCUGAGGGUUGUAAAGCACUUUCAAUUGUGAAGAAAAGCUAAUGGCUAAUACCCAUUAGCCUUGACGUUAACUUUAGAAGAAGCACCGGCUAACUCCGUGCCAGCAGCCGCGGUAAUACGGAGAGUGCAAGCGUUAAUCGGAAUUACUGGGCGUAAAGCGUGCGUAGGUGGUUUGUUAAGUUAGAUGUGAAAGCCCUGGGCUCAACCUAGGAACUGCACUUAAAACUGGCAAACUAGAGUAUAGGAGAGGAAAGUGGAAUUUCAGGUGUAGCGGUGAAAUGCGUAGAUAUCUGAAGGAACAUCAAUGGCGAAGGCAGCUUUCUGGACUAAUACUGACACUGAGGUACGAAAGCGUGGGUAGCAAACAGGAUUAGAUACCCUGGUAGUCCACGCCGUAAACGAUGACAACUAGCCGUUGGGAGG